This 229-nucleotide ribosomal RNA is filed under the name uncultured bacterium. RNAcentral describes it as "partial 16S ribosomal RNA". It matches the Rfam family "Bacterial small subunit ribosomal RNA", at positions 118 to 347 of the family's 1533-position model. The record is from RNAcentral.
UGAGUAAUCUGCCCUUCACUUCGGGAUAACCACCGGAAACGGUGGCUAAUACCGGAUACAACCAGUCUUCGCAUGAGGUGCUGGUGGAAAGUCUUUUCGGUGAAGGAUGUGCUCGCGGCCUAUCAGCUUGUUGGUGGGGUAAUAGCCUACCAAGGCUUCGACGGGUAGCCGGCCUGAGAGGGCGACCGGCCACACUGGGACUGAGACACGGCCCAGACUCCUACGGGAG